RNAcentral lists this transfer-messenger RNA (338 nucleotides) under Chromatiales bacterium. It matches the Rfam family "transfer-messenger RNA". Rfam says of the family: Bacterial tmRNA, also known as 10Sa RNA or SsrA, is named for its dual tRNA and mRNA-like properties. Its role is to liberate the mRNA from a stalled ribosome. The record is from RNAcentral. Lineage: Bacteria; Pseudomonadati; Pseudomonadota; Gammaproteobacteria; Chromatiales.
AUCGGUUUCGACGAGGGUCGCGAAACUCCAGGUGCAUGUCGAGGUGCAGUGACCUCGUAAAUCCAUCUGCAAACUUAUAGUUGCCAACGACGACAACUACGCACUCGCCGCCUAAAACCCGGUAGGGUGCCGUCUGACCGGAGCCGUGCUUGUGCGUCCGUCAUCAGACGUCAUCUCUCACAAGAUCGCCGCAAAGCUCGUCCGGGGUGGAGCGGUUAAAACUUAACCGGAAUCGCCGUUCGUCUUCCCUGCCCAUCGGGUAGCGGCCGGUUAAAUUAAUUGAUGCGGAUAAGCAUGUAGAUCCUGGGGCGGAGGGCUCGCGGACGCGGGUUCGAUUA